AGAGUUUGAUCAUGGCUCAGGAUGAACGCUAGCUACAGGCUUAACACAUGCAAGUCGAGGGGAAACGAUAUUGGAAGCUUGCUUCCGAUAGGCGUCGACCGGCGCACGGGUGAGUAACGCGUAUCCAACCUGCCCACCACUUGGGGAUAACCUUGCGAAAGUAAGACUAAUACCCAAUGAUAUCUCUAGAAGACAUCUGAAAGAGAUUAAAGAUUUAUCGGUGAUGGAUGGGGAUGCGUCCGAUUAGCUUGUUGGCGGGGUAACGGCCCACCAAGGCAACGAUCAGUAGGGGUUCUGAGAGGAAGGUCCCCCACAUUGGAACUGAGACACGGUCCAAACUCCUACGGGAGGCAACA
Molecule: ribosomal RNA, 356 nt
Filed under: uncultured bacterium
Lineage: Bacteria
Description: bacterial SSU rRNA
Rfam family: Bacterial small subunit ribosomal RNA
Source: RNAcentral